AUAAUGGGUCAGCGACUUAUAUUCUGUAGCAAGGUUAACCGAAUAGGGGAGCCGAAGGGAAACCGAGUCUUAACUGGGCGUUAAGUUGCAGGGUAUAGACCCGAAACCCGGUGAUCUAGCCAUGGGCAGGUUGAAGGUUGGGUAACACUAACUGGAGGACCGAACCGACUAAUGUUGAAAAAUUAGCGGAUGACUUGUGGCUGGGGGUGAAAGGCCAAUCAAACCGGGAGAUAGCUGGUUCUCCCCGAAAGCUAUUUAGGUAGCGCCUCGUGAAUUCAUCUCCGGGGGUAGAGCACUGUUUCGGCAAGGGGGUCAUCC
This 318-nucleotide ribosomal RNA is filed under the name Escherichia coli. Its description in RNAcentral is "partial 23S ribosomal RNA". It matches the Rfam family "Bacterial large subunit ribosomal RNA", at positions 612 to 932 of the family's 2925-position model. The record is from RNAcentral. Lineage: Bacteria; Pseudomonadati; Pseudomonadota; Gammaproteobacteria; Enterobacterales; Enterobacteriaceae.